CUACGGGGCGCAGCAGUGAGGAAUUUUGCGCAAUGGGGGCAACCCUGACGCAGCAACGCCGCGUGAGUGAAGAAGGCCUUUGGGUCGUAAAGCUCUGUCGACAGGGAAGAAGUUAUUGUUGUUUAAUAGAUGACAGUAUUGACGGUACCUGUAGAGGAAGCACCGGCUAACUCCGUGCCAGCAGCCGCGGUAAUACGGGGGGUGCAAGCGUUAUUCGGAAUUAUUGGGCGUAAAGGGCGCGUAGGCGGUCUUGUCGGUCAGAUGUGAAAGCCCAGGGCUCAACCCUGGACGUGCAUUUGAAACAGCAAGACUUGAGUACGGGAGAGGAAAGCGGAAUUCCUGGUGUAGAGGUGAAAUUCGUAGAUAUCAGGAGGAACACCGAUGGCGAAGGCAGCUUUCUGGACCGAUACUGACGCUGAGGCGCGAAGGUGUGGGUAGCGAACGGGAUUAGAUACCCUCGUAGUC
RNAcentral lists this ribosomal RNA (465 nucleotides) under uncultured bacterium. RNAcentral's name for it is "partial 16S ribosomal RNA". It matches the Rfam family "Bacterial small subunit ribosomal RNA", at positions 339 to 795 of the family's 1533-position model. The record is from RNAcentral.